AAUGGCUGCAGUAAUAUAACUGUACAAAGGUAGCAUAAUCAUUAGUUUUUUAAUUAAAAGCUUGUAUGAAAGGUUGGACGAAGUAAAAUCUGUCUCUUUUUAAUAUAAUUAGAAUUUAAUUUUUAAGUAAAAAAGCUUAAAUUUAUAUAAAAGACGAGAAGACCCUAUAGAGUUUAAUAAUUUAUUUUAAAUAAUUAAUUUAGAUUUAUUUAUUUUAUUUAUUAUAUAAUUAUUUUAUUGGGGUAAUAAAAAGAUUAAUAUAAUUCUUUUUUUUAUAUAACAUUAAUAUAUGAAUUAAAUGAUCCAUUUUUAUGAUUAAAAGAUUAAAUUACCUUAGGGAUAACAGCGUAAUUUUUUUAAAGAGUUCAUAUCGAUAAAAAAGUUUGCGACCUCGAUGUUGGAUUAAAGAUUAAUUUAGGUGUAGAAGUUUAAAUAUUUGGUCUGUUCGACCAUUAAAUCUUUACAUGAUCUGAGUUCAAACCGGUGUAAGCCAGGUUGGUUUCUAUCUUUAUAAAAUUUUUAUAUUUUAGUACGAAAGGACCAAAUAUUUAAUAUAUAAAUAUUUAAUUAUUUUGAAUAU
This 580-nucleotide ribosomal RNA is filed under the name Agostinia launi. Its description in RNAcentral is "partial 16S ribosomal RNA". The stretch from base 339 to 497 matches the Rfam family "Bacterial large subunit ribosomal RNA", at positions 2473 to 2632 of the family's 2925-position model. The record is from RNAcentral. Lineage: Eukaryota; Metazoa; Arthropoda; Insecta; Coleoptera; Carabidae.